AUAUUGAUCCAGCUCCUAGUCCCAGUCCUCAUGGUGGCCAGGGUUGAAUAUGCAGUGGGGAGGAAGGAACCGUGUAAGAGGGCGUUUGGCUUAGCUAUGUUCUUAUAAGUUAAUUUGAACUUAAAAGCAUUUAAAAUUCUAGACAGUACCUGUUUAGUUAAAAUAUGUGUAAGUGGCCGAUAAACAAUUAUGUAUCAAUAAAAAAUAUACAGCUUAUAAUUGCUAAUAAGUACAAUGCUGGGAGGAAGGAACCGUGUAAGAGGGCGUUUGGCUUAGCUAUGUUCUUAUAAGUUAAUUUGAACUUAAAAGCAUUUAAAAUUCUAGACAGUACCUGUUUAGUUAAAAUAUGUGUAAGUGGCCGAUAAACAAUUAUGUAUCAAUAAAAAAUAUACAGCUUAUAAUUGCUAAUAAGUA
RNAcentral lists this unclassified non-coding RNA (414 nucleotides) under Hevea brasiliensis (rubber tree). Lineage: Eukaryota; Viridiplantae; Streptophyta; Magnoliopsida; Malpighiales; Euphorbiaceae. The record is from RNAcentral.